GAUGAAGAACGUAGCGAAAUGCGAUAAGUAAUGUGAAUUGCAGAAUUCAGUGAAUCAUCGAAUCUUUGAACGCACAUUGCGCCCGCCAGCAUUCUGGCGGGCAUGCCUGUUCGAGCGUCAUUUCAACCCUCGAGCCCCCCCGGGGGCCUCGGUGUUGGGGGACGGCACACCAGCCGCCCCCGAAAUGCAGUGGCGACCCCGCCGCAGCCUCCCCUGCGUAGUAGCACACACCUCGCACCGGAGCGCGGAGCCGGUCACGCCGUAAAACGCCCAACUUUCUUAGAGUUGACCUCGGAUCAGGUAGGAAUACCCGCUGAACUUAAGCAUAUCAAUAAGCGGAGGA
RNAcentral lists this unclassified non-coding RNA (343 nucleotides) under soil metagenome. RNAcentral's name for it is "partial contains 5.8S ribosomal RNA, internal transcribed spacer 2, and large subunit ribosomal RNA". The stretch from base 1 to 120 matches the Rfam family "5.8S ribosomal RNA", at positions 35 to 154 of the family's 154-position model. The record is from RNAcentral.